RNAcentral lists this unclassified non-coding RNA (377 nucleotides) under uncultured Candidatus Midichloriaceae bacterium. RNAcentral describes it as "contains 16S-23S intergenic spacer region". Lineage: Bacteria; Pseudomonadati; Pseudomonadota; Alphaproteobacteria; Rickettsiales; Candidatus Midichloriaceae. The record is from RNAcentral.
UCCGGCUUAUCACCGGCAGUUUCCUUAGAGUGCCCAGCUUGACCUGAUGGUAACUAAGGAUGAGGGUUGCGCUCGUUGCGGGACUUAACCCAACAUCUCACGACACGAGCUGACGACGGCCAUGCAACACUUGUAAUAGUCCGGCCGAACCGACUAACAGAUCUCUCUGUCAUAUGACUACUAUGUCAAGGCCUGGUAAGGUUUUUCGCGUGACAUCGAAUUAAACCACAUGUUCCACCGCUUGUGCGGGUCCCCGUCAAUUCCGUUUGAGUUUUAAUCUUGCGACCGUACUUCCCAGGCGGAGUGCUUAACGCGUUAGCUACGACACCGAGAAUAAAUCCCAAUAUCUAGCACUCAUCGUUUAGGGCGUGGACUAC